AUUGAACGCUGGCGGCAUGCCUUACACAUGCAAGUCGAACGGCAGCACGGGAGCAAUCCUGGUGGCGAGUGGCGAACGGGUGGGUAAAGUAUCGGAACGUGCCCAGUCGUGGGGGAUAACGUAGCGAAAGUUACGCUAAUACCGCAUACGACCUGAGGGUGAAAGCGGGGGAUCGCAAGACCUCGCGCAAUUGGAGCGGCCGAUGUCAGAUUAGCUAGUUGGUAGGGUAAAAGCCUACCAAGGCGACGAUCUGUAGCUGGUCUGAGAGGACGACCAGCCACACUGGGACUGAGACACGGCUCAGACUCCUACGGGAGGCAGCAGUGGGGAAUUUUGGACAAUGGGGGAAACCCUGAUCCAGCCAUGCCGCGUGAGUGAAGAAGGCCUUCGGGUUGUAAAGCUCUUUCGGACAGAAAGAAAUCUUUUGGGCUAAUACCCUGAGAGGAUGACGGUACUGUAAGAAGAAGCACCGGCUAACUACGUGCCAGCCGCCGCAGUAA
This 500-nucleotide ribosomal RNA is filed under the name uncultured bacterium. RNAcentral's name for it is "partial 16S ribosomal RNA". It matches the Rfam family "Bacterial small subunit ribosomal RNA", at positions 29 to 523 of the family's 1533-position model. The record is from RNAcentral.